This is a non-coding RNA of Microbotryomycetes sp. JL221, 71 nucleotides long. Lineage: Eukaryota; Fungi; Basidiomycota; Microbotryomycetes. The record is from the annotation of a GenBank genome assembly.
GCCAGAUUAGUUUAGUGGUAAAACGGCUACCUUGUAAGUAGCAGUCUUGUGUUCAAUUCACGGAUUUGGCA